UAGGGAAUCUUCCGCAAUGGACGCAAGUCUGACGGAGCAACGCCGCGUGAGUGAAGAAGGAUUUCGGUUCGUAAAACUCUGUUGUUAGAGAAGAACAGCGCAUAGAGUAACUGCUAUGCGUGUGACGGUAUCUAACCAGAAAGCCACGGCUAACUACGUGCCAGCAGCCGCGGUAAUACGUAGGUGGCAAGCGUUGUCCGGAUUUAUUGGGCGUAAAGCGAGCGCAGGCGGUCAAUUAAGUCUGAUGUGAAAGCCCCCGGCUCAACCGGGGAGGGUCAUUGGAAACUGGUUGACUUGAGUGCAGAAGAGGAGAGUGGAAUUCCAUGUGUAGCGGUGAAAUGCGUAGAUAUAUGGAGGAACACCAGUGGCGAAGGCGACUCUCUGGUCUGUAACUGACGCUGAGGCUCGAAAGCGUGGGUAGCAAACAGG
This 429-nucleotide ribosomal RNA is filed under the name Bacteroidota bacterium. Its description in RNAcentral is "Bacteroidetes bacterium partial 16S ribosomal RNA". It matches the Rfam family "Bacterial small subunit ribosomal RNA", at positions 355 to 776 of the family's 1533-position model. The record is from RNAcentral. Lineage: Bacteria; Pseudomonadati; Bacteroidota.